UGUACCUGUCAUACUCAUAAGUAAGUGUGUGUGUGUGUGUGUUACAGCUCUGGUCUGUCGGCUUAUCUCGGCUCGUCUCAUGAUGGCAGUCGGCUCUGUGACUUCAGCAUCACACAGUACGCUUGUGCAGAGUUGACAGAUCUGAGCUCGCAGCACCUGGCGACGGUGUUGUCAUGCGGUCUCAACGGGAAUGAGAGCGUGUCCGAGGAGGCGUGGAAACUCUUCACGCAGAAGGUCAACCCUGUGCUGGGACCAGCGCUCGACCUGCUCGCCCACACGAGGUUGAAUAAGUCCCGCCCCACUGUGUCAUUCUUGAAUGUGAUUGGAGAAGUCACUCUGAGCUCCUUCAGCUCCACCAAUCUGAGAGAUGAUUCGUUCAUUCAGCGCUGGUUUGACUCCAGGCUCCGCCCAUUUUUACCCUACGCCUCCGAGACAUUCCUGUCCUGUCUGUCCACCAGAGACUUCAGCUGUGACACCUACAGGAGUGUGUGAGUUACACACACACACACACACACACGUCAUAUGUUGAUGCAUCUCUGAGAUUUGGUCUCUUUCACAGUGUCGAGAGCUUCAGUCAGAGUUUUGACAUCAUGUCCACCGAUACACAAGCUAAUGUCUACGUUGACUUCAUCAAAGUCUUCCUCUCUCAGAACAGCACUGCAGGGUGUGUGAACGUCUCUCAGAGCAGCUCUGAUUGGCUGAUCAGCAGCUUUGGACGUUUCUCUGUUUUCACCACAGUCACCGACCUGCAGACGUUCAACCCCAGCUUCAGUGUGUUGGACACUCUGAGUCUGUUGAGCCUGAGGCAGUUAGUGGAGGUUUCCAGCACUCCUGGAUUCCUGUCCAGUGCUGCUGCGGUUAAUAAUCUGCUGCUCUACGUGCCGGACGCUCAGUUCACAGCGUUCUUCUUAUCCCUCUCCGCUACGCUACAGAUGCAGGGCGUUGUUCUCCCAUCCCCCGUGCAGGAGGUGUUUCUGCAGCAGGUGUUUAACAGGGCCAAUCUGACCACGUCAUCAGACGCUGAUCUGCAAACCUGGAUCCUGAACAUACUGCCGUCCUUCAUAGCCAACAUCACCGUCCAACAUGUGACGUCCUACUUCAGCGUCGUCCUGCAGCGACCCUGUCCCAUCAGCCAGCAGGCGUAAUCUUCCAGGGUGCAGCUGUUGAACUUGUCCAGCUCCACCUUCCAGCCGGCGACACAAGAUCAGAUCUACCAGCUGAUCCUCGGCUCUCUCACAGGUGUCC
RNAcentral lists this long non-coding RNA (1245 nucleotides) under Sinocyclocheilus anshuiensis. Its description in RNAcentral is "lncRNA (ENSSANG00000020317.1)". The record is from RNAcentral. Lineage: Eukaryota; Metazoa; Chordata; Actinopteri; Cypriniformes; Cyprinidae.